This 211-nucleotide unclassified non-coding RNA is filed under the name plant metagenome. Its description in RNAcentral is "partial contains small subunit ribosomal RNA, internal transcribed spacer 1, and 5.8S ribosomal RNA". The record is from RNAcentral.
UUUCCGUAGGUGAACCUGCGGAAGGAUCAUUCAUAAUCCAGUGUUUUAUGGCACUUUUUAAAAAUCCAUAUCUACGUAGUGUGAAAUGUUAGAUCUCGUCAAUCUUGGCGAGAUUUUUAUACAUCAACUCAUUCUUUAACUAAAUUGUCUGAAAAAUAUUAUGAAUACUUAAUUCAAAAAACAACUUUCAACAACGGAUCUCUUGGCUCUC